This 461-nucleotide ribosomal RNA is filed under the name uncultured bacterium. RNAcentral describes it as "partial 16S ribosomal RNA". It matches the Rfam family "Bacterial small subunit ribosomal RNA", at positions 338 to 795 of the family's 1533-position model. The record is from RNAcentral.
CCUACGGGAGGCAGCAGUGAGGAAUAUUGGUCAAUGGGCGGAAGCCUGAACCAGCCAAGUCGCGUGAGGGAUUAAGGCCCUGCGGGUCGUAAACCUCUUUUGCCGGGGAGCAGUGGUCCGGACGCGUCCGGACCGGGAGAGUACCCGGAGAAAAAGCAUCGGCUAACUCCGUGCCAGCAGCCGCGGUAAUACGGGGGAUGCGGGCGUUAUCCGGAUUUAUUGGGUUUAAAGGGAGCGUAGAUGGGUUGUUAAGUCGGGUGGGAAAGUUUGCGGCUAAACCGUAAAAUUGCAAUUGAUACUGGCAGUCUUGAGUACAGUUGAGGUAGGCGGAAUUCGUGGUGUAGCGGUGAAAUGCUUAGAUAUCACGAAGAACCCCGAUUGCGAAGGCAGCUUACUAAACUGUGACUGACAUUGAUGCUCGAAAGUGUGGGUAUCAAACAGGAUUAGAUACCCGAGUAGUC